UCUCUCUCUCGCCAUCUCUGUCCGAGCUCUCUCUGUCGCUGCUCCUCGCCAUGGGUCGUCGCCGCUUCUCUGCUCCUCGCCGUGGGUUGCCGCUUUUCUGCUCCUCGCCGUGGGUCGUUGCUGCUUCUCCCCUCAUCUUCGUUUCUGCUUCUCUGCUCCGCACUGUGUCUCGCCGUCGUUGCUUCUCUUCGUGUGGAGUUUCUAGUCUCUGCUACAACCCUCUCAGGUCUCAAGUCUCUUCUUCUCUGCUUCAAGCCUUCAACCCUCUCAGGUCCCAAGUUUCAGUCUCUAACUCUCCCUGAUUCUAUCUCCCUGACUCUAUAACUUUGAAAUUUGAAAUUUAUUCUGAACAUGCAUAUGAUGUAUUAUUGAUGAUUCUGCUGGAUUUUGAGAUAUUAAUGUUUUGAAUUUUUAUUUGAAUUCUGUCCGUUGAUCUUGAAUUAAUUCUGCUGAGAUUGAGUUAUAAAUUCAAUUGUAUAAUUUAUUUAUUCUGCUGAGAUUGAUUUUUAAAUCCAAUAUUUUAUAUUUGUUUUGGUGAAUUGUUGUUUUGCUGUUAUUGAUUCAAAAUCAAAACAGUGCCACAAUUCUGCAUUGAAAUUACUAUAUGGCUUCCUAUGAUUUGGUUGAGUAUGAUUCUUAGGUUGGGUAUCUGUUUUGGAUGUUCUGAAGAGUGACUUGAUUGAUUUACAGAAGUUCACAUAUGGGAGAGUUAAUUUUUUAAAAAAAUUAUUUUAUAUUUAAUUAAAUCAGUUGAAUCCCGGUUGAACCAGUAAAUCAUUAAACCAAUUACUUAACCGGUUCUCGCAACCUUGGUUUUUAUUUGUUGUGCAUCUGUUAUACUGAGUUACAUAUUUUUUAAACACAUCUAUAUUUGGAUAAUCCCUCAACUACCUUUAGUUAUUUCAUUGUUAGAUCACACAUAAUAUGCUCAACUAGCUGUAUCUAUGAUAAAAUAGUGUUGAAGUUUCUGGUGUUUUCAUGAUAGGUUGAAUGGUUGAUCUAAAUAGAGCAGGGCACCUUUGCUUGAGAUAGUUUCCGAGCCUUAUAUAAAAACCGGUAUUGAAGCAGUAGAGCAUGCAACAGAAAUACGGAGAUUGGUUCGGCAUUUGGGAGUGAUCAAUGGCAAUAUGAAAACUUUCUCUAUACUAACAGUUCGUGGGUGUCUUAAGUAUCUAAAUCUACUACCAGCAAAAGUACAUAAUUCAAGUCCCCCAAACAUAUAUCACCAACGUAGAAAGUGCAAAUGUAUGGACCACUCGCAAAUUAACUUUUUCAUACUAAGCAUAAUAUGUAUUUGUGUGGACUUGGCAUUUAUACAUAUAUUUUUUCCCUCUAAUUUUGGUUAACUUAAUUAUGACUUGAUGCCUAAAAGAUUGAAAGUCUCAAUAUUUAUUCUUAAGCUUUUGAAUAUCACAAAUUGUAUUGCAGGGUCAGCAGGCAGUACACUAAAAUUUUGGGAUUUAGAAUCCUUUGAACUGAUUGGAUCUACUAAACAAGAGGUUUCUCAUUUAGUGUCGUGUGAGUCAUGGUGUUAGCAAUAGCAAUUAUUGGUGGUUUGGAUUGUGCAGUUUCUCUCUUUUAAAUGUUCUUAGUGUGCAUUAUUUUCUUUUUUCUGGUUCACCCCAUGAUGUACAAGCACACAUAUAGUAGAGGUCAUGGUUCUCUAUGAAUUUUGGUAGAUGUUUUUGCUUAAUGUUUCCUUUAUGGUUCCUUUUUUAUAUGUUGAUUUUACUAAAAUUAUUUGAGAUCUGAUUUCUAACAACCAGAACUUACCAACAAUAGAAAUGGGCACAUUACCAGACAGCAAAGCUGCAAAGGCUUCUCGAUAGUGCAAUAUGAAGACAAGAUCCAUGGGUGUGAAGAAUUCCACUAAGAAAACUAUUAGAAGGAAUCACAAAUAAGUGGGCCAUGAACUUCUCAAAAAACUUGCUUAUGUGACUGAUAAAUUUGAUAGGAAAUCCCUCGAACAAUUACAGGAUUCUGCACCACAAUUCCUAAUGAUUUUAGAUUCAGAAAAAUUAAGCUCUCUUUCCCAUACGUUUUUUUAUCCACUUAGUCAUUUAUCAAUUUAUUCUAUGGUUGAAAUCAUAAUUGUGAAUUUCUGACACCUGAUAGUGGAUUUUGUAUACUUUAUUCUCCAAUUGGUUUCUUUUUAUAUUAAUGGUAUGUAUCAAUUGCUUCACAACAUUAGUAUUUGGUAUUCUUCUUUCAGUUGUUAUGUUUUAGUUGGAUGAGGUGGAUCUGGCUGAUGCAAAGUUUGAAUAUUUAUGGUUUGGAGUGCAUAUAUAUAUAUUUUUUU
Arachis ipaensis is the source of this 2299-nucleotide non-coding RNA. Lineage: Eukaryota; Viridiplantae; Streptophyta; Magnoliopsida; Fabales; Fabaceae. The record is from RefSeq and is a predicted model, not a curated record.